Long non-coding RNA from Callithrix jacchus (white-tufted-ear marmoset), 769 nucleotides. RefSeq lists it as uncharacterized. Lineage: Eukaryota; Metazoa; Chordata; Mammalia; Primates; Cebidae. The record is from RefSeq and is a predicted model, not a curated record.
UGCAGACAUGGAGAGACACAGACACACGCGGAGAAGACCAUGUGACAACACAGGCAGAGAUGGGCGUGGUGCGUCUACACAGCAAGGGCUGUUCAAGGGUUGCUGGCAGCCAUCAGAAGCUAAGGUUGUAUUGUGAAUUUGUGGAUGUUCAGCAGUUCAACUGUGUAAUUGUGGAUGAAUUCUGAUGAAAUUUGGAGAGUGAGCUUGGGAGGACGUGGUAUAACAGUAUGACAUACAGAAAUAUGAGAAUUUUUCAUGGUGGCUUUAGUGAAGAAACAUGCCAAAUGCAUUUAAGGUGUCAUGAACUGGAAAAGGAACAGUGGUUUCUAAUGAGUAUAUGAGUCACCUGGAGAUUGCUGCUCUAAAAUGCAGACACAGGAAAGAGAAAGAAAGGAAAAUUUAGGAAAAUAAAGGAAAACUACCUUCCUAAAGGUCACUCACCAGUGUCAGAUGGAGUGAGAACUGGACCCAGGUCAGCUAAUUCUAAGCCCUGAACCCUUGUUUGAACAGCAGGAUUUCUCCCAUGCAUGGGUGAAACAUACAUUCAGUUAGAGCCCCAGUUGAAGUUCCCUGUAAUUGCAAAAGAGACCAAAGAGAGAACUGGUGUUAUGUCCGGACCGGAAAAGGCUGAGGAACAACUGCAAAAAUUACACACAUUCUGAAUGUUUAUUUAUACAAAUCCCUCCACCCACAUCUGUAACGUAAGCAAUGUGCAAAAAAGAAACUCUAUUUUUGAGCUAAGUGCCAAAGCAAUUAUUGUUAAUAAAGA